This 225-nucleotide unclassified non-coding RNA is filed under the name plant metagenome. Its description in RNAcentral is "partial contains small subunit ribosomal RNA and internal transcribed spacer 1". The stretch from base 1 to 46 matches the Rfam family "Eukaryotic small subunit ribosomal RNA", at positions 1786 to 1831 of the family's 1831-position model. The record is from RNAcentral.
AAGUCGUAACAAGGUCUCCGUAGGUGAACCUGCGGAGGGAUCAUUACCAGAGAUGGCGGGGCCCUUCCCGUGCCCCAUGGUCCCCCCCAAGUCCCCCAACCCACUUGUUUGGAACCCAAAAACCCCCUUUUUUGGCCCUCGGGGGGCAGAGCGUCCGUCGCCGCCCCCCGGAGGACCAACCAACGCUGUCUCUUUGCGUCGGAGUAUUGAUUAAAUAAAUGAAAA